RNAcentral lists this ribosomal RNA (1227 nucleotides) under Methylobacterium goesingense. RNAcentral's name for it is "bacterial SSU rRNA". It matches the Rfam family "Bacterial small subunit ribosomal RNA". Lineage: Bacteria; Pseudomonadati; Pseudomonadota; Alphaproteobacteria; Hyphomicrobiales; Methylobacteriaceae. The record is from RNAcentral.
UAUUUGUAAGGCCCUGUGUUCUCGAGUGAGCAGUGAUUCAGCCCAACCCUUCGGACUCUACACUCUCGGUCCCUAGAUUCCUAUCACGGAGAAGCAUGCAGUGGGCGAAUUCUUGGGCAAAUGGGACCAACGCCUGCAUCCAACCCAUCCGGCUGCAAUGUAUGAAAGCACUAAGGUUAGAAAGCUUCUUUUUUCCGAGGACGAAUAAUGCCGGAUCACGAAGAAUUAGGCCCGGGUAACCUUCUUGUCAGGCAGCGCCAGUAAUACGAAGUAGGCCUAGCAUUGCUCGGUAAUCCACUGGGCGUAAAGGGGCGCGGUACGCGGCCAUCAAGGUCGGGGGUGAAAGACUUAUGGCCCAACCACAGAAUCGCCUCCGAUUCCGCUCUGGCUGAGUAUGGUUAGAGGCUCAGUGGAACUGCGAGCGUAGCAGGUGAAAUUCGUAGAUAUCGCCAAGACCACCAGUGGCGAAGCCGGCUGACUUGACUAUUUACUGACGCUGAAGCGGCGAAAGCGUGGGGAGCAAACCAGGAUUAGAUUACCUGGUAGUCCACGCCGUAAACGAUGAAUGCUAGCUGUUGGGGUGCUUGCACUUCAGUAGCGCAGCUAACGCUUUAAGCAUUCCCGCCUGGGGAGUACGGUCGCAAGAUUAAAACUCAAAGGAAUUGACGGGGGCCCGCACAAGCGGUGGAGCAUGUGGUUUAAUUCGAAGCAACGCGCCGAACCUUACCAUCCCUUGACAUGUCCUGCCAUCCGGAGAGAUCCGGGGUUCCCUUCCGGGACGCGACCACAGCUGCUGAAUGGCCGUCGUCAGCUCGUGUCGUGAAAUGUUGCGUUAAGUCCCCCAAUGAGCCCAACCCACGUCCUUAGUUGCCAUCAUUCAGUUGGGCACUCUAGGGAGACUGCCGGUGAUAAGCCGCGAGGACGGUGUGGAUGCCGUCAAGUCCUCAUCGCCCUUACGGGAUGGGCCACACACGUGCUACAAUGGCGGUGACAGUGCGACGCGAAACCGCGAGGUUGAGCAAAUCCCCAAAAUCCGGCUCAGUUCAGAUGGCGAUCUGCAACUCGAGUGCAUGAAGGGGGAAUCGCUAGUAAUCGUGGAUCAGCAUUCCUAGGCCCUACGUUCCCGGUCCCCGCCACACCGCCCGCCCCCCCUUGAGUUGGUUCUUUCCCACGCGCCCGCCACCCGCAAGGAGGCCCGGCCCCGCCCGGUUGGUGUUGUUAAUGCCA